Molecule: ribosomal RNA, 1510 nt
Filed under: uncultured Chloroflexota bacterium
Lineage: Bacteria; Bacillati; Chloroflexota
Description: bacterial SSU rRNA
Rfam family: Bacterial small subunit ribosomal RNA
Source: RNAcentral
UAGAGUUUGAUUAUGGCUCAGGAUGAACGCUGGCGGCGUGCCUAAUACAUGCAAGUCGAACGGACAGUAGCAAUACUGUUAGUGGCGAACGGGUGAGUAACGCGUUGGUGACCUGCCCCAAAGAGAGGGAUAACAGAUCGAAAGGUCUGCUAAUACCGCAUGUGCAACCGGGAGAUUAGAAGCCGGGUUGGAAAUGGAGGACGUUCGAAAGAACGCAUCCGCUUUGGGAGGGGCCUGCGUCCCAUCAGCUAGUUGGUAAGGUAAAAGCUUACCAAGGCGAUGACGGGUAGGGGACCAGAGAGGGUGACCCCCACAAUGGAACUGAAACACGGUCCAUACACCUACGGGUGGCAGCAGUAGGGAAUAUUGCUUAAUGGGCGAAAGCCUGAAGCAGCAACGCCGCGUGUGCGAUGAAGGCCUUCGGGUUGUAAAGCACUUUUUGUUGGGAAGAGGAAGGACGGUACCAGCAGAAUAAGCCUCGGCUAACUACGUGCCAGCAGCCGCGGUAAAACGUAGGAGGCGAGCGUUAUCCGGAUUUACUGGGUGUAAAGCGUGUGCAGGCGGUUUGUUAAGAUGGGUGUGAAAGCUCCUGGCUCAACUGGGAGAGGUCGCCCAUGACUGGCAGACUAGAGAGCAGUAGGGGAAGGUGGAAUUCCGGGUGUAGUGGUGAAAUGCGUAGAUAUCCGGAGGAACACCAGUGGCGAAGGCGGCCUUCUAGGCUGUAUCUGACGCUCAGACACGAAAGCUAGGGUAGCAAACGGGAUUAGAGACCCCGGUAGUCCUAGCCGUAAACGAUGUGAACUUGGCGCUGGGCGGGUAAAACCGAUCAGUGCCGAAGCAAACGCGGUAAGUUCACCACCUGGGGACUACGGCCGCAAGGUUAAAACUCAAAGGAAUUGACGGGGGCCCGCACAAGCAGCGGAGCGUGUGGUUUAAUUCGAUGCUACACGAAGAACCUUACCAGGGCUUGACAUGUAUGUGGUAGCGAAGCGAAAGCGGAGCGACCCUUCGGGGAGCAUGCACAGGUGCUGCAUGGCUGUCGUCAGCUCGUGUCGUGAGAUGUUCGGUUAAGUCCGCUAACGAGCGCAACCCUCGCCGUGUGUUAUACGUGUCACGCGGGACUGCCAGUCUUAAGCUGGAGGAAGGUGGGGAUGACGUCAAGUCAGCAUGGCCUUUAUGUCCUGGGCUACACACACGCUACAAUGGCCAGUACAAUGGGUAGCGAAGCCGCGAGGCGAAGCCAAUCCUCCAAAGCUGGUCUCAGUUCAGAUUGCAGGCUGCAACCCGCCUGCAUGAAGAUGGAGUUGCUAGUAACCGCAGGUCAGCUAUACUGCGGUGAAUACGUUCCCGGGCCUUGUACACACCGCCCGUCACGUCAUGGGAGCUGGUAACACCUGAAGCCGGUAUCCGAACCGCAAGGAAGGAGCCGUCGAGGGUGGGGCUGGUGACUGGGACGAAGUCGUAACAAGGUAGGUGUACCGGAAGGUGCGCCUGGAUCACCUCCUUUCUG